This 247-nucleotide long non-coding RNA is filed under the name Citrus x clementina. RNAcentral describes it as "Citrus clementina (C. clementina) long non-coding RNA (CCLE_LNC002201)". Lineage: Eukaryota; Viridiplantae; Streptophyta; Magnoliopsida; Sapindales; Rutaceae. The record is from RNAcentral.
GACUAGGAAUGGCCCCAGACUUGGCGGGCGGCCUCCGUGUGCCAAAAAUAGGCCACGGGCACAGCCGCGCCCAAAAAUCAGCCCCCGAAGGUCGGGGUUCCAAGACCCCCCAGCGGAAAAAUGGCCAAAAAACGGGUGGGCUAUAGCCUUGGUGGGGGUUGUGGGCGAAGUUCGUCCGCGGGACUCGGAAUGGCCCCAGACUUGGCGGGCGGCCUCCCUGUGCCAUAAAUAGGCCAUGGGCACAGCC